UACGAGGGGGGGCAAGCGUUGUUCGGAAUUAUUGGGCGUAAAGGGCGCGUAGGCGGUGCGGUAAGUCACCUGUGAAAACUCUGGGCUCAACUCAGAGCCUGCAGGCGAAACUGCCGUGCUUGAGUGUGGGAGAGGUGCGUGGAAUUCCCGGUGUAGCGGUGAAUGACGUAGAUAUCGGAAGGAACACCGGUGGCGAAAGCGGCGCGCUGGACCUCUUCUGACGCUGAGGCGCGAAAGCCAGGGGAGCAAACAGG
This 254-nucleotide ribosomal RNA is filed under the name uncultured bacterium. RNAcentral's name for it is "partial 16S ribosomal RNA". It matches the Rfam family "Bacterial small subunit ribosomal RNA", at positions 524 to 776 of the family's 1533-position model. The record is from RNAcentral.